This is a non-coding RNA of Pelobates cultripes (western spadefoot toad), 108 nucleotides long. The record is from the annotation of a GenBank genome assembly. NCBI's taxonomy places the organism in Eukaryota, Metazoa, Chordata, Amphibia, Anura, Pelobatidae.
AUUAUAACAUGUACCUUCACAAAAUAUGCAUGCAAUAUGCAAAAUAUGCAUGCAUAUACAUAUGAGUAUUUGUAUGCAUGCAUAUUUUGUGAAGGUACGUGUUAUAAG